CAAGUCGAACGGUCCCAGCAAUGGGAUAGUGGCGCACGGGUGCGUAACGCGUAUGAAACCUGCCCUUCACUGGGGGAUAACCUCUCGAAAGAGAGGCUAAUACCGCAUAAGAUAGUAGAACGGCAUCGUUCAGCUCUUAAAACUCCGGUGGUGAAGGAUGGUCAUGCGUCCAAUUAGCUAGUUGGUAGGGUAACGGCCUACCAAGGCGAUGAUUGGUAGGGGGUCUGAGAGGAUGAUCCCCCACACUGGUACUGAGAUACGGACCAGACUCCUACGGGAGGCAGCAGUAGGGAAUAUUGGUCAAUGGAGGCAACUCUGAACCAGCCAUGCCGCGUGCAGGAAGAAGGCCCUCUGGGUUGUAAACUGCUUUUGAUCAGGAACAAAUGACCCCUGCGGGGGUAGCUGAGUGUACUGAUAGAAUAAGCCACGGCUAACUACGUGCCAGCAGCCGCGGUAAUACGUAGGUGGCAAGCGUUGUCCGGAUUUAUUGGGUUUAAAGGGUGCGUAGGUGGCUUUGUAAGUCAGCGGUGAAACUCUGGAGCUUAACUCCAGACCGGCCAUUGAUACUGCAGAGCUUGAGUUCGAACGAGGUAGGCGGAAUUGACGGUGUAGCGGUGAAAUGCAUAGAUAUCGUCAAGAACACCAAUAGCGAAGGCAGCUUACUAGAACGACACUGACACUGAGGCACGAAAGCGUGGGUAGCAAACAGGAUUAGAUACCCUGGUAGUCCACGCCGUAAACGAUGAUUACUCGAUGUUAGCGAUAUACAGUUAGCGUCCAAGGGAAACCGAUAAGUAAUCCACCUGGGGAGUACGCUCGCAAGA
This 824-nucleotide ribosomal RNA is filed under the name uncultured Bacteroidota bacterium. RNAcentral's name for it is "bacterial SSU rRNA". It matches the Rfam family "Bacterial small subunit ribosomal RNA", at positions 58 to 893 of the family's 1533-position model. The record is from RNAcentral. Lineage: Bacteria; Pseudomonadati; Bacteroidota.